Molecule: unclassified non-coding RNA, 250 nt
Filed under: plant metagenome
Description: partial contains small subunit ribosomal RNA, internal transcribed spacer 1, and 5.8S ribosomal RNA
Rfam family: 5.8S ribosomal RNA (bases 201-250)
Source: RNAcentral
GUAGGUGAACCUGCGGAAGGAUCAUUAACGAGAUCUGGGAGGUGCGAGAGCAUCGACCGAGAGGGAGGGGGGCGUGAAAGCCACCCUCUCCCCCACACAUACACCCGAGAUAUCGGAGGCCGGGGCAAUGUACAUUGCAUACAUCGCCCCGGCGCAACAUUCAUGCUUGCUUUUACAUCUAAAAUGACACAUUACACGAUAACUUUUAACAAUGGAUCUCUUGGCUCUUGCAUCGAUGAAGAACGCAGCA